GCCAGGUGUGGUGGCGCAAGCCUGUAAUCCGAGCUACUCAGGAGGCUGAGGCAGGAGAAUCGCUUGAACCUGGGAGGUGGAGGUUGCAGUGAGCCAAGAUCGCGCCACUGCACUCUAGCCUGGGUGACAGAGCGAGACUCUGUCUCAA
This 148-nucleotide non-coding RNA is filed under the name Nomascus leucogenys (northern white-cheeked gibbon). The record is from Rfam by way of RNAcentral. Lineage: Eukaryota; Metazoa; Chordata; Mammalia; Primates; Hylobatidae.